UCGAAUUUUGAACACAAUGUUCAGAAACUGAUGACGUUGCACGUCAUAUACUCAGAAUCAGAACUGUCUGUUAAAUGUACACAAUAACAAACCAUUAGGAUAUCAAAAUUAUUCUCACACAAAUACAACAUUGUUAUCAUCAAAACUUAAAGUAUAGAUGCAAAACUAAAUCUUGUUCUAACACUCGUAUCAUCAUGUUAGAAUACCUAAAAAAAUAAAAUUAAAAACAAAUAUGAAGAGAUCACAAAAUAAUACAUAAAAAAAAUU
This 267-nucleotide long non-coding RNA is filed under the name Lathyrus oleraceus (garden pea). RNAcentral describes it as "Pisum sativum (pea) long non-coding RNA (PSAT_LNC014053)". Lineage: Eukaryota; Viridiplantae; Streptophyta; Magnoliopsida; Fabales; Fabaceae. The record is from RNAcentral.